This 253-nucleotide ribosomal RNA is filed under the name Gemmiger formicilis. Its description in RNAcentral is "partial 16S ribosomal RNA". It matches the Rfam family "Bacterial small subunit ribosomal RNA", at positions 524 to 776 of the family's 1533-position model. The record is from RNAcentral. Lineage: Bacteria; Bacillati; Bacillota; Clostridia; Eubacteriales; Oscillospiraceae.
AACGUAGGGUGCAAGCGUUGUCCGGAAUUACUGGGUGUAAAGGGAGCGCAGGCGGACCGGCAAGUUGGAAGUGAAAACUAUGGGCUCAACCCAUAGAUUGCUUUCAAAACUGCUGGCCUUGAGUAGUGCAGAGGUAGGUGGAAUUCCCGGUGUAGCGGUGGAAUGCGUAGAUAUCGGGAGGAACACCAGUGGCGAAGGCGACCUACUGGGCACCAACUGACGCUGAGGCUCGAAAGCAUGGGUAGCAAACAGG